Passer domesticus (house sparrow) is the source of this 3346-nucleotide long non-coding RNA. RefSeq lists it as uncharacterized. The record is from RefSeq and is a predicted model, not a curated record. Lineage: Eukaryota; Metazoa; Chordata; Aves; Passeriformes; Passeridae. The transcript is spliced from 3 exons.
GGAGAAGUGAAAGGAGUCUUGGAGGAACAGAAACUGUUUCCAUUGAUUUAAAUAAUUGCAUUGGUAUUUCAGAGUUUAUCCAAACCUUGGAACUUGAGAUUUCACUCUGAGAACACCCAAAUUGUACUUUCCAAACUGUUGCAAAACAUUGCCAAGAACUGACCAUCCAUGGCAGGUCUUUACUCAGUCUACAAAGAUAUAACAAAGAAAAUACAAUCUGUAACUGGCAAGUAAGAUGUGUGGUAUUCACAUGCCCUCUGAAUGGAGAGAAAUUGUGAGACAAGCAGAGAAGAAGGAAAAACAUAAUUCUUAUCUCUCUUGCUGUGCUGAAGUGGAAUGCAAUACAGAGAUUAUUUACCCAAGCACUAAUGAAGACUGAGCAUAUCUCAUAUAACAGCCAGCAUUUCUUUGGUGGUGUAGAACUGAAUGGGGCUCUUGGACUGCUACCAAGUACUGAGAGCUCUUAAUUGUCUUACAUCUUCUUAGACAAAACUAGGAAUUACCAAGAAUUGCACCAUUCUCCUUACAGAUAUUUUCGUUGUUUACAGCAAGUGACAAGGGAUUCUAAGUGAGAAUCAGAAAUAGAAGAUGGAAAUUUGUCACGGCAUGGCGGCUGUAUGUCCCCGGCCCGGCCCCGCGACGGCAACAAUAGGGGCAUGACAGAUCACCCUGGCAGACCCCGCAGAAAUUCCAGCCAUCAGCUGAGGAUUCGGCACAGGGAGAAACAGAAAGCAGCAUGUGUCCUGGGGUGGAACCGGGGAAAACUCCGCUACACAGCAAACUACCAGAGCACCACGUCCCAGGACGCUGACCCGACAGCAGGCACUAGCUUAUAAACAGGGGCGGUCUUGGGGCAGGCUAUAAUUUUUAACCAAUCGGGAGAGCUGGAGGUGGAACACAAGGCGGGGAAAUACAAUCUGUAAACCAAUGGAGAAUCUUAAGGGAGGGGAAAGGCUUAAGUAAAAAAUAGCAUUUCAAAGAAUACAAAACUGACAGGGAAGGUUCUGGAGGAAAGGGCAGGCUUGGGGAAGGAUUGACAUCUGAGGAGGGGAGGAGCAGGGAAGGUUUUUGGGGAAGAAGGGUAGGAACAGGAGCGAUUGACAACUUGUCAGGGAGUGGCUAGGCAACAAACAGGAGCGCUGACAGUUAACCGAGCUGAAUAACAACGAGGGAGCGAGUGUAAAUUUAGCAACAUAAAAUACGAAAUGGGGAACCUGUGCCACUCCGAGAGCUGAGGGAGUAAAACACAGAGGGAUUUCAAAACCACAAAUUAAACAGUCAAAAAAAGCCAAAUAAAGAAAACACACAACAGAAAUUGAUGGCUGAUGAUGUCCUGGAUUCCUCUGGGAGAGAGUUAGUUUCUUCUUAGUAGCUGGUGUUUUGGAUUCAGUAUGACAAUGAAGUUAAUUACACACUAAUGUUCUGGCUGUUAUUAAGUAGUGCUAAGGACUUGUCAGUGUCUUAUUUUCUGCCAGUGAGGAGCUGCACAUGAAGCCAGGGAGAAUAGCCGGGACAGGUGACCUGAACUGGCCAAAGGGAUAUUCCAAUCAUACAAUGUCAUGCCCAGUAUACAAAAUGGGGGAGUUACCCAGAAAGGAGGUCAUGUAAGGACUUGAAGAGGGCAGUUCUCUGUCUCCGAAGUCCAGAGAAGCACUUUGCAUAAGAUAAGCCACCAGAAGAAACUUAAGGAAUUUGCAAGAGGAAGAUGCUAAUUCCACACCUGAAAGACAUGAGGUCUGGAUAGCACAUCCUGGUUAAUGCAUCCAGACAAAUUACUCUGGCAAGCUGUGGGAAAGGAAGUAACUGCUCAUAUAUAUAGCACCUCAAGUUGUGGGAACAGCAUGUACCACUACCCCAUGGAUUCCCAGAACAUGUACUGUGUAAAGGUGGUACCCCCAGAAGAACAGCUCUGAGACCCCCAACACCAAAAAGCCUGGGGUGAAAAGGGACUAACAGCAUGCAGCUGGAUCCAUGGGUGGUGAUUAUAUUUUCUGAUCUCUCUCUCUCUCCCUUCCCUGCACCAGUUUUUUCUAUUUUUUCAAUCUAACUCAAAUUUACUGUUAAUUAAGACUGUAUUGACUUCAGCACAUGGUCUUGUUUUCACCUUAAUUCACGUAGAGGCAUCUUUCAUUAAUCCAUUCAUAACACACUGAUGGAGAUUCAGAAAUGGGUUGGACAUCAGCAGGUGAUGUGCAGUUGUAUUGUGCAUUGCUUGGUGGUUUUUUUUUUUUUGUCCUUGGAUAUAAUUUCAUUUCAAUUGUUUCUGUCAAAGAAAGUAGUUAGAAAAUGAAAUAAAUCAUUGAACAUGGCUACAUCACUGUGACUGCUAACUAGACUAUGCCUACAGGACGAAACACUUCCAUAUACUAUUUGCUGCAAAGAGAGGCUUCUCUGCUUAAAAUAGCAAUAAAAAGUUCUGACACUUGACCUGAAAAUAGCCUGAAUGCUGCCUUUCUUUGCCAAAGAUGUCAUUUUCCUACUGUUAUCAGCUCUGAUCUACAGCUUUGCAGCAUAGCUGCACACAGCCUCUUCCCAUCUGCUUUAACUAUUUAAAAUGAUUCACAUGGAUCUGCUUUAUUAUUUAUGGAGGGCUAAUGCUUAAGUGGCUUCAAUAGAAAUAUGGACCCAAUUCUGUUACAGAUACAUCCUAUUAAGAUUCCAGAACCUGUUCUCAAUGGGAUUUAACAGUUUGCUAAAUAUUUGUGUGUUUCCAUGUGAUUUAUAGCUGUUUGUAUUGUAAUGUCUCUACUGAAACAGUUUCAUUUUUCAAAAUAUUUUCAUUUUAUUCAUAGACAAGCCUGGUAUUCAAGAAUCUGGGUCUUAGUUGUAGAUAAUAUUACUAAUUGUCUUAUCUGAAUAAUUAAGUUUUACAACUGCCAGAAAAGAUAGCUCUUCACAGGCAUGCAAAGAACUGGGAUGAAGACAGAAAUAUGGUCUGCUGAUCUGUUCCUACUAAUCUAAUUAUUCUCCUGAAGUAUAUGAAUAAAAAAAAUGGGUAUCUGCCUCCCUUAGGCUUUCUACAAAAAUCACUGAAUCUUCAUAUAUUCUGUAAAUGUCAGUGACAAUAGCCUGGCAUUAAACAAUCCUUUAAAAGGACUGAAAAAGAAAGAUUUUAAUAGAGCUGUAAGGGAAACACACACUGCCUCACUAGGAAAAAUCUGAGAAGAGGGUUUGCAGGAAUGUGGAACAAUCUCCCUAUGGAUAUGAUCUUGCAUUAUUUACCUCAUAUGCUGCCAAUUAAACUGAACAGAUCUCUGAUAAAAAUAUUUAUGUGAAACUAGCUUUUUGGAGAAUGUGCUUGCCAUUUGGUUAUUAAUUCAGUGUGAGUUCUGCAGUCUGUGGUGGG